Molecule: ribosomal RNA, 437 nt
Filed under: Panopeus hartii
Lineage: Eukaryota; Metazoa; Arthropoda; Malacostraca; Decapoda; Panopeidae
Description: partial 16S ribosomal RNA
Rfam family: Bacterial large subunit ribosomal RNA
Source: RNAcentral
CCGUGCAAAGGUAGCAUAAUCAUUAGAGGUUUAAUUGGAAUCUGGUAUGAAGGGUUGGACAAAGGAAAAGCUGUCUUUACAUUAUAAGUUGAAUUUUACUUUUAAGUGAAAAGGCUUAAAUAAGUCAAAGGGACGAUAAGACCCUAUAAAGCUUUAUAAAUUAUUUAGAUUUAAUUAAUUUAAAAUAUAAAAAUUAAUUCUACAUUAUUUUAUUUUAUUGGGGCGAUAUGAGUAUAAUUAUUAUUAACUGCUUAAAAAGGAAACAAGUUUAGGUGAAUAUAGAAUUAAAUGAUCCUUUUUAAAGAUUAGAAGACUAAGUUACUUUAGGGAUAACAGCGUUAUUUCUUUUGAGAGUCCAUAUCGAAAAAGAAGAUUGCGACCUCGAUGUUGAAUUAAAAUAUCUAUAUAAUGCAGCCGUUAUAAAAGAGGGUCUGUUC